UUGAUAAUUCCACUUGUAUGAAAUGUUUCCUCUAUAAUCUUACAUAUCUUCUUUUGUGUAUUCUAAAACAUUAUUCUGAGAAGGGGACCAUCGGCCUCAAUAGACUGCCAGAGGGGCCUGUAGCACAAAAACAGGCCUCUGCCCUGGCAGAGGCAGCAAGAUUAUUUAACAGCCUGUUAAUUCAGACAAGCAAUAAUGAGAAUGUGACUCAGGCAGUGUCCACAGGGGAUAGAUUCCAGAGAUCCUUUAAACUUCACUCACAGAAUCUGCUUUUAUCAGCAAUACAGCCAGAUGAUAGCAUUGCUACUACCCAUUUAUGCUCACUUAAUUUUGGCAGAAGGAAAUACUUCUUUGGAAGAGUAGUUUAGGAAUGUUUUCUUUUUAAAGUUAGCAUGAAAUAGGGAGAAAUGUUCAAGACAGACAGGAUGCCAUCUUGUUGUUUAGCUGGCAUAAUGGAUAUUAGCUGGACAUUUUUCCACAAUUAAUAGCUUCCCCCGCAGAAAAAACAAUAAGCUUUUACCACCUUAGAUCGUGUGACAGAAAGCCUCUUAAAGUAGAGGAACAGAAUCAGACACUCAAUAGGAAGAAGAGCCUUAGUGAUUUGCCCUGAGGGAUUGGAAGCAGCACAGGAAUUGCUAGUGGCAGGUUGAGGAUGCCUCAAUAAUAGUCUCAAGCUCCAAUCCCAUGGAUCCACAGGCCCUUGCAGAGUUAUCUUUCAUUGCUUUGUACAUGACACUGUGAGCCUGCAGUAAAGCAGCAGCAGCCCAGUUCAUCACUUGAGUUCCAUUGAUCCAGCCACUCCAAUGGGCUGUGGCUGUCUCCAGUCUAAUCUCCAGAGGAUUAUGGGUUUGUAGUCUCCUAUGACCUUACACUUGGAUUUCCAGCAGUCAGUGGCCUCUUGUUUCAUUUUACUAGAAUGUGAGCUCUGGGUGAGAGAGUGAGACUCCAUCUCGAAAAAAAAAAUAUUAAAAAAAAUAAAACUGCACAUGUAAAUAUGUAAGACAUUAUUAUUACAGGAUUUAAUGAAAACUCAUAUUCAUCCUCCCCAUACGUUUCUUUUUUUUCUUUUUCCUUUUUUUUGAGACAGAGUUUCGCUCUUGUUGCCCAGGCUGGAGUGUAGUGGCACAAUCUCAGCUCACUGCAACCUCCACUUCCUGGGUUCAAGUGAUUCUCCUGCCUCAGCCUCCUGAGUAGCUGGAAUUACAGGCGCAUGUCACCACACCCGGCUAAUUUUUGUAUUUUUAGUAGAGACAAAGUUUCACCACCUUAGCCAGGCUGGUCUUGAACUCCUGACCUCAGGUAAUCCUCCCUCCUUGGCCUCCCAAAGUGCUGGGAUUACAGGCAUGAGCCACUG
RNAcentral lists this long non-coding RNA (1354 nucleotides) under Homo sapiens (human). Its description in RNAcentral is "non-protein coding lnc-THRSP-6:1". Lineage: Eukaryota; Metazoa; Chordata; Mammalia; Primates; Hominidae. The record is from RNAcentral.